Long non-coding RNA from Oncorhynchus tshawytscha (Chinook salmon), 2174 nucleotides. The record is from Ensembl. Lineage: Eukaryota; Metazoa; Chordata; Actinopteri; Salmoniformes; Salmonidae.
UGAUAACAUUAUACAAAACAGGCAAUGAUAACAUUGAUAACAUUAUACAAAACAGGCAAUGAUAACAUUGAUAACAUUAUACAAACAGGCAAUGAUAACAUUGAUAACAUUAUACAAACAGGCAAUGAUAACAUUGAUAACAUUAUACAAAACAGGCAAUGAUAACAUUGAUAACAUUAUACAAACAGGCAAUGAUAACAUUGAUAACAUUAUACAAACAGGCAAUGAUAACAUUGAUAACAUUAUACAAAACAGGCAAUGAUAACAUUGAUAACAUUAUACAAACAGGCAAUGAUAACAUUGAUAACAUUAUACAAACAGGCAAUGAUAACAUUGAUAACAUUAUACAAACAGGCAAUGAUAACAAACAGGCAAUGAUAACAUUGAUAACAUUAUACAAACAGGCAAUGAUAACAUUAUACAAACAGGCAAUGAUAACAUUGAUAACAUUAUACAAACAGGCAAUGAUAACAUUGAUAACAUUAUACAAAGAACUUAAAAGAAACACACAUUGAUUGUUUUAACGGCUUUCUCAUCAGAAGAAUGUAGGAUGGUCUUCAUGUACUGCUCGAAUUCCUUAAAGAAAACAUGGAAGUAUGGUUUGUUAUUAGUGAAUUUAUGUAUAUGAUAUUUGGACAUUAGCAUAAUUAGAUUUGAGGUAAAAAUUGGUUUUCCUUAUCCUUAUUAGAGUUAAGGAAACCGAGCAGCACAUUCUCCCAUAAAAAAAAAACAAAAGUAAAUCAAAAACGAUGAAUAUCUUGUCAUUUCUUUACAUGUAGACAACGCAAUAAUAAAUGCACAACUGUUUCUGGAUGCUCAACACAAAGUACAGUUUGUGUUAAUGUAUUUUUUUUUAAAUAGUUUCUGCAGGUAAUCAUUCACAGGGUCAUACUUAUGGAUCAUUCUGAAAGAGAGACCUCUUUCACCUUGUUAAACAAGCAGGUAUUUGUGUGGUAAUAACCAGACUUUUUCCCCCCCACCAACAGACAUUAUUGACAAAUGUAUUCCAGUUAAGUUGUGACAUUUUUAUUUACCUUUAUUUAACUAGGCAGUUAAGAACAAAUUCGUAUUUACAAUGACGGCCUAGGAACAGUGGGUUAACUGCCUGUUCAGGGGCAGAACGACAGAUUUGUACCUUGUCAGCUCGGUGGUUUGAACUUUGCAACCUUCCGGUUACUAGACCAACGCUCUAACCCUGCCGCCCCACAUAAGGAAUGGAUUCAAAAUAUCCCGUUCUGAGGGAACAAGGAGAAACAUAUUUUCCCUAUUGGAGAGUCAACUGGAUUAAGGAGGGCAGGUCAAGAAGGUGAAAUUUGGCUACACCUCUAAAUAACAUGAGAGUUCCAGAUGGAAUAGCAUCAAAGACUACGGAGAACUCUCUAGGUGUGUAAAGGAUACUGUAACGAAAUAAAAAAAAUCCUCAUAAUUGAGUAACAAUCAUUCUGCAUUAAUAUUAUCAACGGACACCUCCUGGUGACCCUGUAGGAGUCAUGUCCAACCGCGUCAUCAGGAUGGAUCAGCCAAUCGUGAAGAAAAUCUACAAACAAAAAUGAGAUUGAAGCAAUGGUGCUGCCACAGAAGCAAUAAUGGUACAAGAUAAGUCCUCUAUCUAUAUGGUUGCAACCUGCCAACCUAGGAUCGAUAAACCAAUCAGCAGUAUGGAUUGAAACGUGUCGUUUUUAAAUGCACAUUUUUAUUUCACCUCUAUGGGAUCAGUGUCCCUAAACUGGCCCUAAUGGGACUAGAAUGAAGAAAGUAACAGCCAACUUUCCGGGACAUUGACAUGUCUUAUAUAUGGGCAGAAAGCUUAAAUUCUAGUUAAUCCACCUGCAAUGUCCAAUUUACAGUAGCUAUUACAGUGAAAAAAAAUACCAUGCUAUUGUUUGAGGAGAGUGCACAACAACAAAACACAUCACGGCAACUGGGUUUGAUAGAUUCACCUCUGAAGGUAAAUAAUGUACUUUACAAUGCAGUAGUCUUGCUCUGAUUUAAUCUGACAAUUAAUCUUAAUGGUUGUACAGUCGUCUCAAAUAAAACUGUGAAGGACCUCGGCGUUACUCUGGACCCUGAUCUCUCUUUUGAAGAACAUAUCAAGACCAUUUCAAGGACAGCUUUUUUCCAUCUACGUAACAUUGCAAAAAUCAGAAACUUUCUGUCCAAAAAUGAUGCAGAAA